This 462-nucleotide long non-coding RNA is filed under the name Mytilus galloprovincialis (Mediterranean mussel). The record is from RNAcentral. Lineage: Eukaryota; Metazoa; Mollusca; Bivalvia; Mytilida; Mytilidae.
AUAUGGGGACGAAGUCCCCAAUAACAGUAGAAAAUUCAAUAAAAAAAAAAAUUCGGGAAAAUUUCCCGAAUUUUUCAUUGUACUAAUGAACUCAAAAUCGUUCAAAUUUUUUUUUGUCGUGUUUUGAAAUCCCGGACCUGCGCAGAAAUGUACAAUGUACUUCCUUUUUCCGGUCUCGUUUGUAUGAAACUUUGAGUAAAAUAUAUAUUAAAAUAGGAAGGAACGCGCAAUACCAAUUUCAUUUUUAAUAAUUCCUUGAUAUGAAAAAACGUUACCUGAUGAUAGCGUUUCUUUGUUUACAUUGCAUAUGACGUCAUAAUUUAAAUAACGUCACAACUAAAAAUCCCUAACAACAGAACCAAAAUCGGAAACGUUACGGUAUUUCCGUUUCUUUUUUUUAAUAAAUAUUUUUAAGUUACAAAAAAAUAAUUCAUACAGACUUCGUCCCCAUUUACAGGUAAU